AAUUCUUCACCGACGCCACAUGUUUGUAAAUUUGUCUUAAUGACACUAUCUUCCUUCCAUUGUCACCCUCUUUCUUAGACUGUAAUAACCCAAUGCCACACAACACCUUUCUCAUUCUCUUUCUUUAUCUCUUCCACCUUCAAAUUCUCCUCCACUCUCUCAUCUUCCACUUCCGCCACUCACCCCCCUCUCCCCUCGACUUCUCCUCCUCCCAACUCCUCAACCUCCUCCGCU
RNAcentral lists this long non-coding RNA (234 nucleotides) under Vigna radiata. Its description in RNAcentral is "long non-coding RNA (VRAD_LNC007928)". Lineage: Eukaryota; Viridiplantae; Streptophyta; Magnoliopsida; Fabales; Fabaceae. The record is from RNAcentral.